AAGAGUACCUUUAGGGGAGGUGAGGUGGGGCCUUUGAGACAGACACAGAGAGGCUGAGAGGAAUGGUGGCGUGUCCACGCACUCCUAGACUUUCCGGGGGCGGCUAGGGGACUCGAGGCCUGGGACCCACUCUCAGAGUGGGCCUGUGAUCUAACGAGGGCCUCACAUUCAGGGCAAGACACACCGGAUCCUAAGGAACAAAAUGUCCUAAAGACGGCUGGAAGAUAUAGCUGAGUCCCCAGCGGUGCCCCCUUCUAGCUGUGUGGAAGACCCCGACCACACACACAGCAGCUGGUUUGGGAGCCGGAGUUUCUCUGAAGUCCCAGGGGCUGGAUGGUCCCCGAACCCAUCCCUCAGACAACCAAACCGUUGGCAAAGCCCUUUUCCUUCUCAAAGCCUCCCCAAGACUCACCGCCUCAAGUUUGGUGCUUACCCUAUGCCGGGUGGGAUUGAAGAAAUCACCAUAAAUAUAAUUGCUACAAUUUUUCCAAUAGUUACCAGCCCAGCCCUAUUGGAAGAAAUCAUAAAUGUAACCCCACCAUGUAUUGUUCUCUGGCUUGCUGCCAGGCAUACAGUGGGCCUGCAACCCAUUUUAUCAUUGAACCCUCAGAAGCAUCCAGUUGGGGCUGGGGGUAGGGGCUGCUGACUCCAGUUGGUAACAAAUAAAUGGCUGAUCAGAGAGGGAAGGCUAUUUUGCCAAGGCCA
Long non-coding RNA from Piliocolobus tephrosceles (Ugandan red Colobus), 705 nucleotides. RefSeq lists it as uncharacterized. The record is from RefSeq and is a predicted model, not a curated record. Lineage: Eukaryota; Metazoa; Chordata; Mammalia; Primates; Cercopithecidae. The transcript is spliced from 2 exons.